Molecule: ribosomal RNA, 2903 nt
Filed under: Escherichia coli
Lineage: Bacteria; Pseudomonadati; Pseudomonadota; Gammaproteobacteria; Enterobacterales; Enterobacteriaceae
Description: 23S ribosomal RNA
Rfam family: Bacterial large subunit ribosomal RNA
Source: RNAcentral
UUAAGCGACUAAGCGUACACGGUGGAUGCCCUGGCAGUCAGAGGCGAUGAAGGACGUGCUAAUCUGCGAUAAGCGUCGGUAAGGUGAUAUGAACCGUUAUAACCGGCGAUUUCCGAAUGGGGAAACCCAGUGUGUUUCGACACACUAUCAUUAACUGAAUCCAUAGGUUAAUGAGGCGAACCGGGGGAACUGAAACAUCUAAGUACCCCGAGGAAAAGAAAUCAACCGAGAUUCCCCCAGUAGCGGCGAGCGAACGGGGAGCAGCCCAGAGCCUGAAUCAGUGUGUGUGUUAGUGGAAGCGUCUGGAAAGGCGCGCGAUACAGGGUGACAGCCCCGUACACAAAAAUGCACAUGCUGUGAGCUCGAUGAGUAGGGCGGGACACGUGGUAUCCUGUCUGAAUAUGGGGGGACCAUCCUCCAAGGCUAAAUACUCCUGACUGACCGAUAGUGAACCAGUACCGUGAGGGAAAGGCGAAAAGAACCCCGGCGAGGGGAGUGAAAAAGAACCUGAAACCGUGUACGUACAAGCAGUGGGAGCACGCUUAGGCGUGUGACUGCGUACCUUUUGUAUAAUGGGUCAGCGACUUAUAUUCUGUAGCAAGGUUAACCGAAUAGGGGAGCCGAAGGGAAACCGAGUCUUAACUGGGCGUUAAGUUGCAGGGUAUAGACCCGAAACCCGGUGAUCUAGCCAUGGGCAGGUUGAAGGUUGGGUAACACUAACUGGAGGACCGAACCGACUAAUGUUGAAAAAUUAGCGGAUGACUUGUGGCUGGGGGUGAAAGGCCAAUCAAACCGGGAGAUAGCUGGUUCUCCCCGAAAGCUAUUUAGGUAGCGCCUCGUGAAUUCAUCUCCGGGGGUAGAGCACUGUUUCGGCAAGGGGGUCAUCCCGACUUACCAACCCGAUGCAAACUGCGAAUACCGGAGAAUGUUAUCACGGGAGACACACGGCGGGUGCUAACGUCCGUCGUGAAGAGGGAAACAACCCAGACCGCCAGCUAAGGUCCCAAAGUCAUGGUUAAGUGGGAAACGAUGUGGGAAGGCCCAGACAGCCAGGAUGUUGGCUUAGAAGCAGCCAUCAUUUAAAGAAAGCGUAAUAGCUCACUGGUCGAGUCGGCCUGCGCGGAAGAUGUAACGGGGCUAAACCAUGCACCGAAGCUGCGGCAGCGACGCUUAUGCGUUGUUGGGUAGGGGAGCGUUCUGUAAGCCUGCGAAGGUGUGCUGUGAGGCAUGCUGGAGGUAUCAGAAGUGCGAAUGCUGACAUAAGUAACGAUAAAGCGGGUGAAAAGCCCGCUCGCCGGAAGACCAAGGGUUCCUGUCCAACGUUAAUCGGGGCAGGGUGAGUCGACCCCUAAGGCGAGGCCGAAAGGCGUAGUCGAUGGGAAACAGGUUAAUAUUCCUGUACUUGGUGUUACUGCGAAGGGGGGACGGAGAAGGCUAUGUUGGCCGGGCGACGGUUGUCCCGGUUUAAGCGUGUAGGCUGGUUUUCCAGGCAAAUCCGGAAAAUCAAGGCUGAGGCGUGAUGACGAGGCACUACGGUGCUGAAGCAACAAAUGCCCUGCUUCCAGGAAAAGCCUCUAAGCAUCAGGUAACAUCAAAUCGUACCCCAAACCGACACAGGUGGUCAGGUAGAGAAUACCAAGGCGCUUGAGAGAACUCGGGUGAAGGAACUAGGCAAAAUGGUGCCGUAACUUCGGGAGAAGGCACGCUGAUAUGUAGGUGAAGUCCCUCGCGGAUGGAGCUGAAAUCAGUCGAAGAUACCAGCUGGCUGCAACUGUUUAUUAAAAACACAGCACUGUGCAAACACGAAAGUGGACGUAUACGGUGUGACGCCUGCCCGGUGCCGGAAGGUUAAUUGAUGGGGUUAGCCGCAAGGCGAAGCUCUUGAUCGAAGCCCCGGUAAACGGCGGCCGUAACUAUAACGGUCCUAAGGUAGCGAAAUUCCUUGUCGGGUAAGUUCCGACCUGCACGAAUGGCGUAAUGAUGGCCAGGCUGUCUCCACCCGAGACUCAGUGAAAUUGAACUCGCUGUGAAGAUGCAGUGUACCCGCGGCAAGACGGAAAGACCCCGUGAACCUUUACUAUAGCUUGACACUGAACAUUGAGCCUUGAUGUGUAGGAUAGGUGGGAGGCUUUGAAGUGUGGACGCCAGUCUGCAUGGAGCCGACCUUGAAAUACCACCCUUUAAUGUUUGAUGUUCUAACGUUGACCCGUAAUCCGGGUUGCGGACAGUGUCUGGUGGGUAGUUUGACUGGGGCGGUCUCCUCCUAAAGAGUAACGGAGGAGCACGAAGGUUGGCUAAUCCUGGUCGGACAUCAGGAGGUUAGUGCAAUGGCAUAAGCCAGCUUGACUGCGAGCGUGACGGCGCGAGCAGGUGCGAAAGCAGGUCAUAGUGAUCCGGUGGUUCUGAAUGGAAGGGCCAUCGCUCAACGGAUAAAAGGUACUCCGGGGAUAACAGGCUGAUACCGCCCAAGAGUUCAUAUCGACGGCGGUGUUUGGCACCUCGAUGUCGGCUCAUCACAUCCUGGGGCUGAAGUAGGUCCCAAGGGUAUGGCUGUUCGCCAUUUAAAGUGGUACGCGAGCUGGGUUUAGAACGUCGUGAGACAGUUCGGUCCCUAUCUGCCGUGGGCGCUGGAGAACUGAGGGGGGCUGCUCCUAGUACGAGAGGACCGGAGUGGACGCAUCACUGGUGUUCGGGUUGUCAUGCCAAUGGCACUGCCCGGUAGCUAAAUGCGGAAGAGAUAAGUGCUGAAAGCAUCUAAGCACGAAACUUGCCCCGAGAUGAGUUCUCCCUGACCCUUUAAGGGUCCUGAAGGAACGUUGAAGACGACGACGUUGAUAGGCCGGGUGUGUAAGCGCAGCGAUGCGUUGAGCUAACCGGUACUAAUGAACCGUGAGGCUUAACCU